RNAcentral lists this transfer RNA (74 nucleotides) under Bacteroidota bacterium. Its description in RNAcentral is "tRNA-Pro". It matches the Rfam family "tRNA". From Rfam's summary of the family: Transfer RNA (tRNA) molecules are approximately 80 nucleotides in length. Their secondary structure includes four short double-helical elements and three loops (D, anti-codon, and T loops). Lineage: Bacteria; Pseudomonadati; Bacteroidota. RNAcentral also lists the same sequence under 2 other names. The record is from RNAcentral.
CGGGGUGUGGCGCAGUUGGCUAGCGCAUCUGCUUUGGGAGCAGAGGGUCGUAGGUUCGAGUCCUAUUACCCCGA